AAAACUACCAGCACAAACCAAACCAAGGAUACAACUGUAGCCAACCAAACAACAAGAAAAGACUUCGCUACUGACUUCAAGUUUGGUUGCUCCACUUCUGCUUUUCAGAUAGAAGGAAAAGGUGAUGAAGGAGGGAGAGGACCAGCGACCUGGGAUAGUUAUAUCCAAGAUGAUGAUGGAAUCA
Molecule: long non-coding RNA, 184 nt
Organism: Quercus robur (English oak)
Lineage: Eukaryota; Viridiplantae; Streptophyta; Magnoliopsida; Fagales; Fagaceae
Exons: 2
Source: RefSeq, a predicted model, not a curated record